GUGGGCCCUGGUCUACGGGGCCGGGAAGGUGCGGUUUAGAUGCUGCUCGCUGGACUCGCGUUCCCCGGGAAGCCUGCGCUGACCACUGUACCCCUCUUCCUCCUCCGAGUUCCUAUGACUUAACUUGUGCCGCUCGAUCCUUGCCGCGGUGUACCUGUGGCUAGAGCUCUGGACAGGAGACAGGAGAUAAGUGUUCCCCGCCCUGCUCACCUCUCUCUGGGGGACUGUUUUCCCAUCAUUAGACGGGGUGGGGUGGUGGUAGUCAUACACUCCUAGAGUAGCAGUGGCAUUACAGGGGAUUCAUUCUAGACCUAAAAGUAUCUGGUCGUUGUAAGCCGUUUGGAGGUUUGUUUGCAAAGCGGUUCUUUGUUCAGGAAAUAUUUAAUGAGCACAUUUGGGUGCUGGGUUGUGACAGUACAAAAAGAUUGGCCCUGCCCUGCACUCAGGGAGUUACAGGCACUGGUAAACAGGUACGUGGAGCAUGGGGGUGAGGAGGCGGGCAGGGCAACACAGCUGCGACUGAAUGCUGCACGGCACUGAUGUGAAGUCAUUUAUAUUGUUACUUUAUUUAAAGAUGGCUCUUUUUUGCCUUUUCAAAAAAGACUUAACUAGCUGGAAAAGAAUGCAAGUGUCCUAGGAUCCUGGCCUAGCUGGGACUUUAUUUUUUCUUUUUUUGCAGUACGCAGGCCUCUCACUGUUGUGGCCUCUCCCGUUGCGUAGCACAGGCUCCGGACGCGCAGGCUCAGCGGCCAUGGCUCACGGGCCCAGCCGCUCCGCAGCAUAUGGGAUCUUCCCAGACCGGGGCACGAACCCGUGUCCCCUGCAUCGGCAGGAGCACUCUCAACCACUGCGCCACGAGGGAAGCCCAGCUGGGACUUUAUUGAAACUGAUAGUGAUCAAAAUGUCUGGGGUAGGGGGAUGAGGGCAGAGACUGCUCCCAUUUUCCGAUGGCUGGACCCGGAAGAGUGAAGUGACUCCCAUGAGGGAGGAAGCCACAGGAAAACAAUCUGACAUCAGGUAAGAAUCCGAGUCAAAAUUUGGUGAAACUGAAGAGAAAUUGGAUGUUCCCGGUGGCUCCAUAAGUACCUAUGUUGGACUCUAGGGGGCAGAGUACGAGCAGGAUUGGUCAGGGAUGCAGGGCUGUUCAGACUGAAAUCAAAUACACGCCGACCUCAGAGAUAACUGCAGAUUCCAGUCCAGACCACCGCAGUGAAGCGAAUUAUCGCAAGAAGGAUUAUGGCAGGAAAAGUGAAAUGGGUCACUGAUAUCGAGAAGUCGGUGCUGAUAAAUAACUUUGAAAAGAGAGGAUGGGUCCAAGUGACAGAAAACGAGGACUGGAAUUUUUACUGGAUGAGUGUGCAAACCAUCCGCAAUGUUUUUAGUGUCGAGACUGGCUACCGGCUCUCAGAUGAUCAAAUAGUCAACCAUUUCCCGAACCACUAUGAACUGACGCGGAAGGAUCUGAUGGUGAAAAACAUCAAGAGAUACAGGAAAGAGCUGGAGAAGGAAGGGAGUCCUUUGGCAGAGAAGGACGAAAGUGGGAAAUACCUCUACCUGGACUUCGUCCCCGUCACCUACAUGCUGCCUGCCGACUACAACCUGUUCGUGGAGGAGUUCAGGAAAAGCCCCUCUAGCACCUGGAUCAUGAAACCUUGUGGCAAAGCCCAGGGAAAGGGCAUCUUUCUGAUCAACAAGCUCUCGCAAAUCAAAAAGUGGUCCCGGGACAGCAAAACGUCUUCGUUCAUGACUCAGUCUACCAAGGAAGCCUACGUGAUCUCUCUGUACAUUAACAACCCGUUACUAAUCGGCGGCAGGAAGUUUGACCUGCGCUUGUAUGUUCUGGUGUCUACGUACCGCCCACUGCGCUGCUACAUGUAUAAACUUGGAUUUUGCCGCUUUUGCACAGUAAAAUACACCCCGAGUACCAGUGAGCUGGACAACAUGUUUGUUCAUCUCACCAACGUUGCCAUUCAGAAACACGGGGAGGAUUACAACCACAUCCACGGGGGCAAGUGGACGGUGCACAACCUGCGACUCUACCUGGAGAGCACCCGAGGCAAGGAGGUGACCAGCAGGCUGUUCGACGAGAUCCACUGGAUCAUUGUGCAGUCCCUGAAGGCUGUGGCGCCGGUGAUGAACAACGACAAACACUGCUUUGAGUGCUACGGCUAUGACAUCAUCAUCGACGACAAGCUGAAGCCCUGGCUGAUCGAGGUGAACGCGUCCCCAUCCCUCACCUCCAGCACGGCCAACGACCGAAUCCUUAAGUAUAACCUGAUUAAUGACACCCUCAACAUCGCCGUCCCUAACGGCGAAAUUCCAGACUGUAAAUGGAACAAGUCACCCCCAAAGGAAGUCCUUGGCAAUUAUGAAAUUCUCCCCGUUUGCCACCAGAAGCCCAAUGCAGAAAUGUGUUCUUCAACCUCAGAGCCUCUAACCCACACUCAACCCACGGAUUCUGGCUCUGGGAAUGAGCUUAUAACGGAAGCACACGCUCUCCCAGAAGUCAGCAAGAUGUAGCUAACGCAACAUAACUGAGCAUCUUAGCACCGUCUACGUUUGAUGUGAACGUCUUCACACGUGUCACAGAGGCUCCUCGGUCAGGGUGUGGUCAGCAGUGAUACCUACGCACACACUUCAACAGUGGCAGGAACUUCACGCUCUGAGCUACAGGGUACGAUGAGGAGCUGGCACAGGGCGACGGGUCUGACCGAGAGCUGAGGAGUCGGCCGGGCCAGUCGCUGGGGCCCAGAGGGGGCCGAUCGAGAGACUCCGGGAGGAC
Molecule: RNA transcript, 2782 nt
Organism: Orcinus orca (killer whale)
Lineage: Eukaryota; Metazoa; Chordata; Mammalia; Artiodactyla; Delphinidae
Gene: TTLL1
Gene name: TTL family tubulin polyglutamylase complex subunit L1
Exons: 15
Source: RefSeq, a predicted model, not a curated record